UUAAUCUCAAAAAUGCUGGAUAUAAGGGAAGAGGGGUGAGAAUCCCCCGCUGCCCCGCAGCCGUGUAGGGAACGAAAGCCCAAUAAUGCCACUGUCUGCAAAUUGCAGAUGGGAAGGCGGGUAAGUAGGCAAUUUAGCCCUAAGCCGGAAGACCUAUCCAGCCUGAGAGCCCUUG
RNAcentral lists this non-coding RNA (175 nucleotides) under Thermodesulfovibrio sp. Lineage: Bacteria; Pseudomonadati; Nitrospirota; Thermodesulfovibrionia; Thermodesulfovibrionales; Thermodesulfovibrionaceae. The record is from RNAcentral.